This 468-nucleotide ribosomal RNA is filed under the name uncultured bacterium. RNAcentral describes it as "partial 16S ribosomal RNA". It matches the Rfam family "Bacterial small subunit ribosomal RNA", at positions 28 to 507 of the family's 1533-position model. The record is from RNAcentral.
GACGAACGCUGGCGGCGUGCUUAACACAUGCAAGUCGAACGGAAAGGCCCUGCUUUUGUGGGGUGCUCGAGUGGCGAACGGGUGAGUAACACGUGAGUAACCUGCCCUUGACUUUGGGAUAACUUCAGGAAACUGGGGCUAAUACCGGAUAGGAGCCCCUGCUGCAUGGUGGGGGUUGGAAAGUUUCGGCGGUCGGGGAUGGACUCGCGGCUUAUCAGCUUGCUGGUGGGGUAGUGGCUUACCAAGGCUUUGACGGGUAGCCGGCCUGAGAGGGUGACCGGCCACAUUGGGACUGAGAUACGGCCCAGACUCCUACGGUAGGCAGCAGUGGGGAAUAUUGCACAAUGGGCGGAAGCCUGAUGCAGCAACGCCGCGUGCGGGAUGACGGCCUUCGGGUUGUAAACCGCUUUCGCCUGUGACGAAGCGUGAGUGACGGUAAUGGGUAAAGAAGCACCGGCUAACUACGUG